CGACCGCCAGGAGUUUGACACAACUUGUUUGAUCGAAGAGCCAAUGAGAUUCGAACUACGUACUCUAAAAGAUGGUCGGGCGCCAAUCACAAAUGAGAUCACGCGGGCCCAUGGCUUGGCGCGGCGGUCGUACCUACCUUUUCACGACGAUUUUCGAUGAGCAAGUCAAGUGUCUCCGAAGAAUGUUGAGAAGUGUUGCAAUAAGAUAAUUUCCGGGCAGUUUUAGUUGAAAACUAAGUGCCGGGCCAAAAACACACUCGCUGAAUGACUGAAAAUUUUCCGCUGUCUGCAGGGGGGGUCAAAUUUCAACCGACUGGAAAAAACGUCCAUUAAUCGGUUAUUUGUGGGUAUACGGACCUGUAUGCAUUUGCUUAUACGUGCGCUUAUGAUCAAGUGAGAGAAGCAAUUACUAUUUUUCAGACCUGCGAUAGUUUCAUUCGGAAGUUUAAUUUUUUAAACGUGUACAUUUACAAAUUUUAGUGUUGUGAUUUCGUGUUGUUUCUUCUCCUCGGCUGUUUUUUCUUCCUCUCGUGAUAAAAAAAUGCGGGAAAAAAUACUGUAUGCUAGAGUACGACUAAAAUCUAAAAAUUAACCGUGGAGGUAUUGAACUCGGGUUAUUUGUGAAGUGCAGAGUGGCUAUUUAUUAUUGUUGAAAAAUCUGAAAAUGCACAAGCUACAGAGGAGAAAAAUUCUAUUCACCGUCGCGGCAGCAAUUACUUUGUCUCAAUGCAUAAUUUGGACAGCAAUAUACAUAAGUGCAGUGACACUAUACUCUUGCUCUACUCAACUGUCGUACUUUACAAAUCUAUUGCAGAGAGGAGAUCAAAAGGGAAAUACACGAAUCAACUACAUAUCAACUUUGACGUACGUGGCAUAUCUGUGGAACGGAAAAUGUAAGAGGGGUAAUGCGACAAAAGCAUUUUACUGGCCAGACCGAAUACCGUCAUCAGAGAGGACAUACGCGUGGAUGCUUUCUUAUAGCCUGGUUACAUCUUGUUGGAUUCCUGCUUCUGUUGGAUUAAUAGUAAGUGUUCAAGUUUAAACAUUUAAUUGAGAGAGGCGAUGUGCUACUUGCUAUAAAAUGCUAGGUAAAAGGGUCAACGUUGACAAUCCAUCUUAGUUUCACUAAUUUAAGAGGAAUUUAUUUUCAAGACAAAAAGGACAUCUGAAGAGGUCUGAACAAGAGGGGCUCAAUCGAAAUUUGUAGCAUUGCACAGUUUUAUCUGACAAAUUAUUUCUGUAUACAUUAACAGCUGUUAUUCAUAUUGAGCCUUUCAGGUUAUUUUCAUUGAAAUGAAAAUCUUAAAGAGACUUUUAAGUAGAAUUUUAUAUAUUCUUCUUGAAUAUAUAGGUCUUGUAUGUAUCUUGAUCUAAUAUGUAUUCAGUAUACUCUACCGACUCUGAAGUCUGGCAAAACUUUACGAUUUUGUGAUGCAGUUAAGUCCCUUAAGAUGACCCCUCCAUUUGAUAAUCUCAAACCUUUUUUCGGCAAGCCUAAAAUCUGGAUCAUUAAUAACAGCAAGGUUUGCUUUAGAACAAAAUAGAGAAGUAUUCGCAGUGCCAGGAUCUGCUGGUCUUAAUAUAGGAGACAAUUUGUACUUGGUCUACCCUUAAAAUAACAGAAACUGGAGAGGAUAUUAUGAUGUCACUGCUUGUCAGUUGAUUGGUCAUAGUGAUUUAAAAUUCCCUUAAAAAUAAUUUGAUUUUUUUACCCAAAAAAUCCGAAAAAUCAAAUCGACUUUUGAGCCCAUAAUCGAUUUUUCCAACCAGUUUACGCUUCAAAUCUGCGCAUACUUAAAAUUGAAUGAUUUUGGUCAAAAUGUUGAAAUGUUGACAGUAACGUCAUAUUAGAGAAGAGAUUUAUCUUCAUUUCAACCUGGAAUAUCAAAGAAAUUCAUUUUUGAGAAAAUCGAUUUUAGGCAUUGGUCUAAAAUUAAAAUUAAUUUUAGGGAGGAGUCAAAAAUUAAUUUUCUUUUAAAAACUGCCAUCACUGCACUUGAUACAACAAUGCAGUUGCGCAUGCAUCAUAAAUCAAAUUUUCAUCAAUCAUGUUAAAAACCUCUUUCCAUAAAAUAAGUUCUUGUUCUGAGAACAGCUCAUAUUGAACCUAUCUGAGGUCUGGAGAUUCUUGCAGCUGUUGCAAGCCAAAUCAAUAUACAUUACAGGGAUAGUGAUUGAAUGGCUUGUAUUUACUUUGAUACUUAUUAAGGACCUUAAAAUAGAACUUAACGGAAAAUACAUUGUUUUUACAAUGUAUCAGUGAUUUGUCCUUUUGAAUUUAUUAUACAGCUACCAUGAUCUUUCAAUUAUAUUAUUUUUAGACUCUCGGUUAAAAAAAAAAUGUUGGUCUAUUAAUAAGCAAUUUUCAUUGAAAGUCACCCUCACACUUAAGUUUGAGCAACUAUUUAAUGCUUUGGCAUUCUUCUUAAAUCCUUUCUUACUUGUGUUCAUGAAAGAGCUAUUCACAGAAAAAAAAAUUAAAGAUCCAUUUUGAUGCUACUUUUUAUUUAAAAAAUAAGCUUGCAAUACACUUAUUGAAUUUUACAGCUGGUGCUUUCUAUGGUCAGAGUGAAGAUGCUGUGAUAUGUAUGUCUCUGCCAUGGCUUGUAAUCACGUUCAUUCUGACCGUGAUGGAUCUUUCUGCGGCAGUUAUGUACACUUUUGACAUUUUCCAUAUGACGGUAAUUUCUUGUAACAUAAAAUGUAGUUUUUAAGGUGAAAAUACUAGCCAUUAAUGGAUAUACUAAUGUGUAUGUGCAUUAAAAUACAUUCGAAUAUGAUGACUAGAGUACAAAUUUUUUUUGGCGAUUUUCUGAAGCUGGAUCAUCAGUGUAAGAAUUGGCUACUCUCCUGUGACUUCAUAUGACACCCGAAGUCAUUAAACCUAUAAUCAGUCUCCCUCAAAUGAAACGCAACAUUCAAUUGCAAAAUUAUUUAAACAUUUUCGUUGCACUAUGCUACUUGGGAUGCUGCAUAGCGAGCUAUGUGGCAUCAACAAACUUCAAGAAGAUAGUAUUCGUUUUAUGUUCCCCAGCAGUUUUCAGAAAUAAAAAUAUGAAUAUCUCAAAAUCAACUUUUUGGUAUUUAGCUGAUUUUUUAUGAUAAGUAUUUGGGUAUAGCAGAUACAUCAAUCGAGUGCCCUCAAUCGUUCUUUUAAUGACUUUUGUUCUCCCUAAAAACUUUCAGGGGUAUUACAAAGAAGGGUAACAAACUCAAUGCAAAAUAAGUUUCAACUCAAGAAUAAACUAAAACAAAUUCAUUGAUUUAUAUCGAUUGAUCAUUCGUAAAAUGAAAAUUCACACUGUACAAUAAAAUUACAAAUGUAAAAAUACAUCAGAAUAAAUGUUUGUAAAUGUGACACCCACAGCUUUUCUGAUGUGCAUUUAGGAAAAAGAUAAUUAAAAGGUUAAAGAUAGCACUGUACCUUAUGAAUUUUAAUUGAGAGGUUUUGACCAGGAUCUGCAUUUCAUGUUGCCCAAUUUCUCUUGCGUUUGAUGCAUUUUGAUGACAGAAAAUUAAAUAAUAUAACGCCUUGAAACUUUUUGUUUUCUUCCUCUCCAUUAUCAAGAAUAUACUCGCAAAAUUUCAAGUUAAAAUGUUCGUAGUUUUCUACUUACGAAAUAAAACAGGAGAGGAAAUUGGGCAACGUCUGAUGUAGUUACACUGAUUUUAAUUAAA
RNAcentral lists this long non-coding RNA (3678 nucleotides) under Bemisia tabaci. RNAcentral describes it as "lncRNA ENSSSA2NGG010726". Lineage: Eukaryota; Metazoa; Arthropoda; Insecta; Hemiptera; Aleyrodidae. The record is from RNAcentral.